AUGUGUGUUGCUGAAACAGGCAAGCCUCUCAGAUGUCUCCUACCCUGCAACACCUGUGUUUAUGGCCAGAGAACUGGAAUGAGGAAUCCUUCACCCAGUAGCAGUGGCCCUGACACCAGCCAGACUCUGCAGGUUGUGUAUGCUGAGCUGGGCAGGCAAUAAGGGAAUAAUGAACAGCACUGAGCUGCAAAGAGGAGCCUUCCAAAGCUGGGCUGUGCUACCAUGUGGGUGUGACACCUCAAGAGCAGCAAAACUUUGGUGUCUUGCUUGACCAGCUGUAUUCCAAAUGCAGGCCUGGAUACAGACUCUGCAAGAGAGGUUUGGAAAAGCUGCAAGGAGAAGGUUCUUGCCUUAUUGCCCUUUCACUGCAGGAGCUGAGAUUGUGCAUUAAGUGAACUCUGCAUUUUGUACUGUGUUUAAAGGGAGAGUCAGUGCCUACUUUGUAGUCCGACCUAAACUCAAAAGUCAUUUCAAUCUUUUGAAAGUUACAUUAAAAAAUACUAAAGCAAAAUUUUCCAUAUCUCUUAGUUAAUAGCCAAAGUUUUUUAGUAAUUUACCAAACCUAUUCAAUUCCCAUGUUAGAGCCUCUACUUCUGACAAGAAGUGGGAAAAGGCACUGCCAAGGUAGGGGCAGAACUGCAUGCCAGAAUGUUCUUAAUUAUCACAAGGGAUUUUGUUUCCCCUCAGUCUUGCAUGUUAAAAUCUAAUAAAAUUUUAAAAUUUAACAGGAAAUAUCUAUCCCACGGACACAUAUUU
RNAcentral lists this long non-coding RNA (756 nucleotides) under Ficedula albicollis (Collared flycatcher). Its description in RNAcentral is "lncRNA (ENSFALG00000020525.2)". The record is from RNAcentral. Lineage: Eukaryota; Metazoa; Chordata; Aves; Passeriformes; Muscicapidae.